Molecule: non-coding RNA, 30 nt
Filed under: Homo sapiens (human)
Lineage: Eukaryota; Metazoa; Chordata; Mammalia; Primates; Hominidae
Source: RNAcentral
UGGUGACAAUACACAAUAUCUGUGGACAAU